Molecule: long non-coding RNA, 1521 nt
Filed under: Helianthus annuus (common sunflower)
Lineage: Eukaryota; Viridiplantae; Streptophyta; Magnoliopsida; Asterales; Asteraceae
Description: hypothetical non coding rna
Source: RNAcentral
CAUUCUUUUCCCUCUCUCGAUUAGCUUUUCCCUUUCUCCAACUUCAAUUUUCCUUUUAAAUAACAAAAAUAAGGUUUUGCCCGUUUAAGUAUUUUUACUCCCGAUCACCGCUACCCUUUCCGAUUGAUCUGAAACCAUAACACAUGUCAGGGCUCUACCCGACUAAGUUGUUGGGAUUCUAUCUCGGAACUUCGGGACAAGGUUGAAUUAGGGUAUUAUACUUAACACGAGUGCAUUAUAUAUUUUUUUUUAUAGCUCAAAAGUUAUACCCAAAAUUUAUACCAGGAGUCCUUCUAGUUGAACUCUAAAAUUACACAGUGGGUCCAUUCCUUUUUCCCACCAUUUUAUUCACUUUUUGUAAGUUACCCAAAACUAUUAUUUAUUAUUUAUUAUUUCUAUUUUGUAAACAAACUUUCAUCAAAAGUCAUGCCUAUUAUUUUAUUUACCCAAUAGGGAACCCUAAUUGAGAAACCCAAGUGAUUCCGUAUAAACCCUAAAAUUCUCGAAACAAUCGGAAUCAGGAUCAGAACCCCUAAAACUCAAGGGGGGUAAACCUUAGCUGAUAAUUAUCUUAAAUUCUUGCUGUAGAACUUAAAUUUCGUUUAAACUGUGACUCAUCCAAGCUACUGGGACACGAACCUAACCUACCCUAAAAAGUAACCCGUCGCGCCACGCGACAGGACCAGGUUUCCCUGUCGCGACACGCGAGGGAGACCAAAUUUCAGAUAUAAAUAGGGGGCAGUGGCACUUGAAUUUUGCUGGAAGUUCGACGUUAAAACUCGAAUUAUACACUGAGUUAUAGCAUAAAUCGUUCACACACCCACUAAUAUCGAAUCGCUGCCGCGGAACAGGGUAAUUACUCCAUCGCUAUUACGAUUCAUUUUCCGGGAUCAAUAUAUCCAAAGAAUGUCUAAGUGCCGCCCACAUUGGGUUAUACUUUGUCGUUUGUCGAUAAUUCGAUAAAUGAGUUGAAGUAUUAUACUUUGUCGUUUGUCGAUAAUUCGAUAAAUGAGUUGAAGUAUUAUACUUUGUCGUUUGUCGAUAAUUCGAUAAAUGAGUUGAAGUAUUGCACUUUGUCGUUCAUUGUGAGAAUUUGAUCUCGUGAGUUAUCGUAAAAGCUGUAUUGAUCAUUAACCCGGUUUUUGUGAAAUUCGUUAAGGUUCGAAUCUCAUGACUACCGUUAAGGUUUGAUUUGGGUUUUACACCAAUACGUAUUCUAUUCUGUUAAACCACCAAAAACACUCCCAACUACACCCUGACAAUCAAACAAACUAUUAAAUCAUCAGAAGAUCCAGAAUAAUAAAGUACAUGCUUAACUAUCGGGAAAAGUAGAAUCAAGAAGUUUGUUAACUCAAUCCUGCAUGAUGAUUAGUAAUUACAAUAGAUUGGAGUAAGGAUUGGAUCCGACACUGAAGGACUUCAAGAAGUGGCUUAUUUUCAAAUUAAGAAAUAUUGUUUUUAUUAAAAGCUACCUUUGUAAAACUUGGAAUUAAUUCCAUCCAUUUAAAUAAAAUCCGGUGU